UUUUCAGAGAGAGAAAACUAUGUCUACUUGGCUAGUGGACUAGGCUGUCAGAAACAACUGAGAUAUGUGUUGCCAUUGUAUCUGAAGGAUUAUUUGUUGGUGAUUCUGACAUGUGUUCUUUGCUCUAAGGAAAUGGCCCCAGCCCAGUCAGGUCCCCAGGAGGUUUUCCUACAAGUCUUGAAUCUGGCAGAUGAUGAGGUGAAGGUGACAGUGGUGGGAAAUGAAAACAAUUCUCUGUUAAUAGAGUCCAUCAAAUCCUUUCAGAAAACACCACACUAUUCCAAACUGCACCUGAAAACAAAAAGCCAGGAUUUUCACUUCCACCUGAAAUAUCACAAUUUGUCUCUCUACACUGAGCAUUCUGUGCAGGAGAAGAACUGGUACAGUCUUGUCAUUCGUGAAGAUGGGAACAGUAUCUCCAGCAUGAUGGUAAAGGAUACAGAAAGCAAAACAACCAAUGGGAUGACAACCGUGAGGUUUGUUAACACUUUGCAUAAAGAUGUCAACAUCUCCCUGAGUACAGAUACCUCUCUCAAUGUUGGUGAAGACUAUGGUGUGUCUGCUUAUAGAACUGUGCAAAGAGGAG
RNAcentral lists this small RNA (586 nucleotides) under Pongo abelii (Sumatran orangutan). Its description in RNAcentral is "processed transcript". The record is from RNAcentral. Lineage: Eukaryota; Metazoa; Chordata; Mammalia; Primates; Hominidae.